GUGAUUCUAGUUUCAUGUCACUAGCACAGCAGGCAUUGACUAUGCAGAUAUUAAGAAAUACUUAAUAUAAAAUGUAGUCAGUAUGUGAAGUGUGAUCAGAAUCAGAAGAAAAUAGUAAAUGUUGAGCCAGAUUUAGGAAGACACAGUAUAAACAGUGGACCAUAAAUGGCUACAGUCCAUAUCAAAUAAAGUUAGUAGGGAUGUGCUUUGGAGAGAAUGAAGUGAAUUCAGUAUGAUGGAGCACAGACUAUAUGGUCAAAUCAGCCUAGAUUUAAACCGGGCUCCUAUUCCCUAUCAUCUGCAUUAUCUUGGGUUUGUGAGUCAACUUUAUGGGUCUAUUGGGAGCAGCAGUUCUUCCUGGCCCCUGGAUGUACUGAUUCCGGUGCAGUCCUCUGACCAUAUUGGGAAGGAUAUGUAAAAUGAUACGAGUUUCAGGGAAUAAGAAUGGGGGUGAGAGGAAUCACUGAGGAUGCCCAAGGACAAAGCAGCCGGAACAAGUUUAUAGCUCAGCAGUCCCAAGAUGGCCGAAUAGGAACAGCUCCAGUCUACAGCUCCCAGCGUGAGUGAUGCAGAAGAUGGGUGACUUCUGCAUUUCCAACCAAGGUACCGGGUUUAUCUCACUGGGGCUUGUUGGACAGUGGGUGCAAUCCACGAAGUGUGAGCCAAAGCAGGGCGGGGCAUCACCUCACCCAGGAAGUGCAAGAGGUCGGGGAAUUCCCUUUCCUAGCUGAGGGAAGCCAUGACAGAUGGUACCUGGAAAAUCGGGACACUCCCAUCCUGAUACUGCACUUUUCCAAAGGUCUUAGCAAAUGGCACACCAGGAGAUUAUAUCCCACGCCUGGCUCAGAGGGUCCCACGCCCACGGAGCCUCGCUCACUGCUAGCACAGCAGUCUGAGACUGAACUGCAAGGUGGCAAUGAGGCUGGGGGAGGGGGGUCCACCAUUGCUGACGUUUGAGUAGGUAAACAAAACACUCCAGCCUGGGCGACGGACUGAGACUCUGUCUCAAAAAAAAAAAAAAGAAGACAUUUAUGCAGCCAACAGACACAUGAAAAAAUGCUCAUCGUCACUGGCCAUCAGUACUGGAGAGGAUGUGGAGAAAUAGGAACACUUUUACACUGUUGGUGGGACUGUAAACUAGUUCAACCAUUGUGGAAGACAGUGUGGCGAUUCCUCAAGGAUCUAGAACUAGAAAUACCAUUUGACCCAGCCAUCUCAUUACUGGGUAUAUACCCAAAGGAGUAUAAAUCAUGCUGCUAUAAAGACACAUGUACAUGUAUGUUUAUUGUGGCAUUAUUCACAAUUGCAAAGACUUGGAACCAACCCAAAUGUCCAUCAAUGAUAGACUGGAUUAAGAAAAUGUGGCACAUAUACACCAUGGAAUACUGUGCAGCCAUAAAAAAGGAUGAGUUCAUGCCCUUUGUAGGGACACAGAUGAAGCUGGAAACCAUUCUGAGCAAACUAUCGCAAGGACAAAAAACCAAACACUGCAUGUUCUCACUCAUAGGUGGGAAUUGAACAAUGAGAACACUUGGACACAGGGUGGGGAACAUCACACACCGGGGCCUGUUGUGGGGUGGGGGGAGGGGGGAAGGAUAGCAUUAGGAGAUAUACCUAAUGUAAAUGACGAGUUAAUGGGUGCAGCACACCAACAAGGCACAUGUACACAUAUGUAACAGCUGCACGUUGUGCACGUGUACCCUAGAACUUAAAGUAUAAUUAAAAAAAUGAAAUAAAAUGGCAAAUAAAGAAUUUGCUCAUACAGCUUCUGAAAACAAAAUAAAGUUUAUAGCUCAAAAAAAGAUUCUGUUCUUUUGAAACUUCAUUAAGAAUGGAAGAAGAGACAUUAAAAUCUGACAAGACUUUAUUUUCUUAAUUGAGCUUUUCAAAUCCAGGACCUGCAAGUUACUGUGAGCUGUCAAUUACUUACUUAACUGUGAAUAAACUUUACAGUUAAAUGUCACAAAUGGACAAAAUGUAGGCAACUUGAAAACACAAUCCAGUUCUCCUGGCUUUAUCUUAUAUUUGGAUCCUUUCACCUUUUCAAAGUCACUCAUCAGGAGAUUGGCAAAGAGCCCUGUCAUCUCAAAUUCCCAGUGUUUACUUAUAAACACAGGAAGUUCAAAUUUCUUAGAAUUAAGCCUAAUGCAGAACCUGUCUUCCGUGGAAUGAAUUCUGCAAGUUUGUAAAGAACCUACAUGAAAAAUACCUGAAAGAACAUGUACACUGAUGAAUAUCUUACUCAUUCAGAUCCCACUAAGAACCCAGAGUCAUUCAGACAUUAUGUGUAAAAUACAUCUUUUUAUCUGCCGGUGAAGAAAAAUCUGCUAAACAAAUUAAUACCGUGCAG
RNAcentral lists this long non-coding RNA (2350 nucleotides) under Homo sapiens (human). RNAcentral's name for it is "HSALNT0142813". Lineage: Eukaryota; Metazoa; Chordata; Mammalia; Primates; Hominidae. The record is from RNAcentral.